GAUGAGAAGGAUUGAAAAAAUGUAGCUGAAAUUAAAUUAAGAACAGCAAAUUAGAGAUUUCAGAUCUAGCUUCUGUUAACCAGGCAUGGAGACCAUGUUGUCUUUGAUUCAUAUAUCUAGUUUUGUUAUCAAAUAUGAGGAGCAAUGGUCGUGCAGAAUAGCCACCGCCAUUAGGUUGGCAUGACACUGCGUCAUACCUUGUUUUACCUGUGCUUCUUGUUGACGGUCAAUAUGUUUCAGCGGAGUUGAUGAUGCCACCCCAGACAGAUGAUCCAGCCCAAAAGAACACACUUGAUUGGUUACUUUUCAUUAUCCGUUCUGUCAGGAUUACCGAUUUACUGGGUGAUGAGUCUCGAGGAGAAGCUUAUUCUUUAAGUGCAAGCAAACAAGUUCCUAAUAGUUCUCAGCCAAGACGAAGCAAGAGAUCUAAGCGGAAGCAUGCUGUAUAAGAAGAUUUUACACUGAAUUAUUUUAGAUUAUGGUGAGUCUUGUAUAUUUAAAGGAAUUUUAUUAUUUUUAAUAUAGUGGCAUUUCUUAUGCUGGCUCAUUCAAGAUAUAUUGCAAAAUCGUGAAAUGCUCCACAUCCUUGCUCCGAA
Long non-coding RNA from Gossypium arboreum, 596 nucleotides. RefSeq lists it as uncharacterized. The record is from RefSeq and is a predicted model, not a curated record. The transcript is spliced from 3 exons. NCBI's taxonomy places the organism in Eukaryota, Viridiplantae, Streptophyta, Magnoliopsida, Malvales, Malvaceae.